CGAAGCGCAGCUGGGAAGGGACCGAGUCUGGAUUCCAGGGAGGUCCGGGUUCUAAUCGAACGAGGCUGUCAAUGGUGGUUCCUUUCGCGGAACGGUGUGGACUACACGACAGGCCCUCGCUCAGAACAGCGAGGGCUGGCCCGCGCUCCACUUCCCAGGGAAGAUCUACUGCCAGGGCACACCUGCCGGGCCCUGGACGUGCCCCAUCGGUGGCGAAAGAAGGGGCUUCCUGACCCAACUCCCCCAGACAGCCGCCAACUCCGAUCACUCUGGCCGAGUUUGUCUACUCUUCACCCCACCCCAACUCCAAACGAUGACCUUCAGUCAGACUUCAUCUUCAAAUUUGACGCUGGCCCCUAGCACCAUUCUCUAUACAGGAAAUAAGGUGUUGUUCAAUGAAUGGAAUUUCAGUGUCCACGAGAAAGCCCAAUACCUACACAUCCAAUUCCCAUUAUCAAAUGUUUGCACAAGAAUCGCAAAUUAAAGCCACCACUUCAUCAACUGGUCAA
RNAcentral lists this long non-coding RNA (509 nucleotides) under Homo sapiens (human). RNAcentral's name for it is "HSALNT0331990". The record is from RNAcentral. Lineage: Eukaryota; Metazoa; Chordata; Mammalia; Primates; Hominidae.